UACGAAGGGGGCUAGCGUUGCUCGGAAUUACUGGGCGUAAAGGGCGCGUAGGCGGACAGUUUAGUCAGAGGUGAAAGCCCAGGGCUCAACCUUGGAAUAGCCUUUGAUACUGGCUGUCUUGAGUUCGGGAGAGGUGAGUGGAAUGCCGAGUGUAGAGGUGAAAUUCGUAGAUAUUCGGCGGAACACCAGUGGCGAAGGCGACUCACUGGCACGAUACUGACGCUGAGGCGCGAAAGCGUGGGGAGCAAACAGG
This 253-nucleotide ribosomal RNA is filed under the name uncultured bacterium. RNAcentral describes it as "partial 16S ribosomal RNA". It matches the Rfam family "Bacterial small subunit ribosomal RNA", at positions 524 to 776 of the family's 1533-position model. The record is from RNAcentral.